ACGAAUUGCAAUCAUCAUAUGGGCGGGGGUGAAUCCUUUGCAGACGACUUGAAUGGGAACGGGGUACUGUAAGCGGUAGAGUAGCCUUGUUGCUACGAUCCGCUGAGGUUAAGCCCUUGUUCUAAAGAUUUGUUCAACUAUGUUGAACGCUUCUCUUCUUUUUUCUUUCUCUUCUUUCCAUGCAUUAACUUGAGGGCCGGUCAAAUUGACUGGGCUACCAGUGAAGGCAUGAUUAGAAGAGAGAGCAGGCAACAGUCAGUGACUACUACUGAUGCUUGCUCUACAGUUAGAAUCAGGGAGAGAGAAUGAAGAAGUGGUAGUAGGGAAUAGGGCUGAGUAGUUAGAUCUUGUUAGGCACUUGAGGGCAAGCUAGUAGUGUCAG
This 382-nucleotide ribosomal RNA is filed under the name Schizophyllum commune. RNAcentral's name for it is "partial large subunit ribosomal RNA". The stretch from base 1 to 133 matches the Rfam family "Eukaryotic large subunit ribosomal RNA", at positions 3268 to 3401 of the family's 3401-position model. Lineage: Eukaryota; Fungi; Basidiomycota; Agaricomycetes; Agaricales; Schizophyllaceae. The record is from RNAcentral.